AUGGAGAGGAGCCUGGGAGCUGUGCUGGGGCUGCUGUGGGUGCAGGUUUGCUGGGUCAGAGGGAUGCAGGUGGACCAAAAUCCUCCAGGCCUGAGUCUUCUUGAGGGAGCCGGCUCUGCUAUGAGAUGCAAUUUUUCUAUCACCACGAACAGUAUGCAGUGGUUUCGGCAGAAUCCCGGGGGCAGCCUACUCAGGCUGUUCCUCAUGACUCCAGGAACAAAGGAGAAUGGGAGGUUAAAGUCAACAUUCGACUCCAAGGAGCGCUACAGCACCCUGCACAUCAGAGAUGCCCAGCUGGAGGACUCAGGCACCUACCUCUGUGCUGCUGAUGCACAGUGCUCCCAGCAAGCCUGCAGCCUGGCCCCAAACUGCAGCUGCCUGUGCAGCUACAGCCCUGCCCCAGGGAGACUCUGCAGGAGGCUUUGCACAGCUGUGGGGUUUCUAAUUUAUGCUGUGUCCCUGUCAUCUCUGCUAACACUAGAGAGUUCAGAAUUGCUGUUUCCUAUCAGUGCGCCCUUUCCUUACAGAUACCCAUUUUCAGGAAGAAGUUCUCAUGAAGAGUACUGGGACAACUGA
This is a non-coding RNA of Peromyscus californicus insignis, 576 nucleotides long. The record is from the annotation of a RefSeq genome assembly. Lineage: Eukaryota; Metazoa; Chordata; Mammalia; Rodentia; Cricetidae.